RNAcentral lists this ribosomal RNA (253 nucleotides) under uncultured bacterium. RNAcentral describes it as "partial 16S ribosomal RNA". It matches the Rfam family "Bacterial small subunit ribosomal RNA", at positions 524 to 776 of the family's 1533-position model. The record is from RNAcentral.
UACGUAGGGUGCGAGCGUUGUCCGGAAUUAUUGGGCGUAAAGAGCUUGUAGGCGGUUUGUCGCGUCUGCUGUGAAAAUCCGGGGCUCAACCCCGGACUUGCAGUGGGUACGGGCAGACUAGAGUGUGGUAGGGGAGACUGGAAUUCCUGGUGUAGCGGUGGAAUGCGCAGAUAUCAGGAGGAACACCGGUGGCGAAGGCGCUGCUCUGGGCCGGUACUGACGCUGAGGAGCGAAAGCGUGGGUAGCAAACAGG